Molecule: long non-coding RNA, 824 nt
Organism: Brassica napus (rape)
Lineage: Eukaryota; Viridiplantae; Streptophyta; Magnoliopsida; Brassicales; Brassicaceae
Exons: 4
Source: RefSeq, a predicted model, not a curated record
GAAAUAGUUACAAAAAUGUGAUUGGUCAAAAUAAAGUGACCAAUAAUGUACAAGGAGUAGGAUUGCACUAUAUUUUAAUCACAACCGUUGAUUAAAUUACAUCCAAUGGACAAAAAUGCAUUGAAACUUUUAGUUAUCUUCGUGCUUGUUCCCCCAAGACAAGGAUCUCAUCUGGUCUCUCUCUCUCUCUCUCUCGUUUUCUUUCUAACUUAUCUCUCAGAUUACAGAUUUCAUAUUUUUUUCUUUCAGAGAUUAUCAAGAUCUCUUUAUUUCCAGCAGAUCUAAUCUUGAUUAUUGAGGUUCUCUUAGUCAGAAGAGAUGGAAAGCUCUACCUCGCCGCUGCCGAGCUCUAGCCCUGCCGUCUCCAUAUCCUCUCUGUCUCCGUCAAUAUCCACACCACCACACUACUACGGAUCGAUUCACGCAUGAGAGGCUGGAGAAUAAAAUGAAGAAGCUUGAAGGUGGAGGAGGAGGCAUAUAAGGCGUUCGUGAGCAGUGGAGGCGUUUGUGAGCAAAGGUGGUGGUUUGGGAUAGACGACUGCAUCCGGAAAGAUGUUUUGCUGAUGAAGAUAAAUGGAGUGGAUCCUGUUACCUUUGAACCUAUUCAGCGUGAGAGUGAUGCCUCUGUUCCAACUCCCCAAUCAAGCCAAGAACUUGAUCAAAAUUCUCCCGUACACUAACUCCUCCAUCUGAUCUUGGUGUCUUUUGUGUUUAUACUAAGUUAAACUCUAACAGCAUUAGAUGUCUUUUGUAACUAUUGAACAUCAUUAGAUGUCUUUUGUAAAAAACUUAUAAUUUUAAUGGUAUUUGAAUGUUUCAAUUAA